This 220-nucleotide unclassified non-coding RNA is filed under the name Hevea brasiliensis (rubber tree). The record is from RNAcentral. Lineage: Eukaryota; Viridiplantae; Streptophyta; Magnoliopsida; Malpighiales; Euphorbiaceae.
AUUUUUUACCAUUAUCUAUUUACUGUACCUUCUGCUAGAUAGAUUGGAUUUGUAGACUACUUGAACAAUACAUGGUUUCCUAUAUCUUUUUUCAGGAAGAGCACAAAAUUAUUUGGUCCUUCGGAUCCAACUCUUCAAUCGUUAUUUCAUCUCACCCAUCAUAUUGAUGGAUGGGACAGAAGUUGUGAUUGCUGACUUACCUAGAUAUUUACAUGUGGGU